GCGCAUCACCAAACUUGAUUUCCCCAAGAAGCACCUAAAGAAGAACAUCAAACAUCACUGUGGUGAUCAUGACAUGCAAUACCCAAAGAAAAAUAAUUUAAGAAAAAAUAAACCUAUUCAUCACACAAUGCUAAAAUACAUAUGCCUACAUAUCCAUAAUUUCUAUGUUUACGGAACACCUUUCGAUAAGUCACAACCUUCAUUUUAAAAUGGACUUUUGUAUUUGUAUUUUGCUUGUGAGUAUGGUCUUGGUUAAAACUUCGCAUUCUAGCAUUUACUUAUAUGAUAUCAUAUAGCAAGAAAGCUAUGAGACCCAAGUCACAAUUUAUUGUAUUCUCAUAGACCCUCAAAAUACUAGAGCUAGACAAAGAUAAACAACACGAUAGAGAAACUUCUGCUUUACAUGUACAUUGACAUUUGCAUGUGCAAAGCUCUCUUUCCUCCUUUCCUUUCUUUUCUUCCUCACCUUUCGAAUCUUUCUCCUAGAUUAAGGAGAUUGUUGUUUUGUUGUUAGUGGUUGCCAUCAUCAUCACAUUGAAAUCAACUUUAGUUAAUACUAGCCUCCUGCACGCGCUCACGGGCGUGCGGAAGGCCCUUUUGUAAUUAAGGCAUUCUACGUGCGACUUAAAUAAUUUAAAUGAUAACAAAAGAGCGGUUGCUCUCUGAUCUAAUUGCAGACACAAUCUGCAGAACCGUCUUCUAUGGGAUUUGAACUUGUGAAGUGUGAGGUGGAGACCUGAAUGUAACAAAUUGGUGUUAAGUGAAUAAUUCCAAACAUAUAAAAUUUAGAUCAUCACACCGAACGCAAACAGAACAAUUAAAUAAACAACUGAAGGCAUACGCAAUCUAAUUAGACAAAUAAGUGAACUUUCCCAUGCCGAAAUCUGAAAGGCCAACAGAAAUAUCUCAUUACAGCACAGAAGACAAAACUUAGGACAAAACUUAAAACUAAUCAAACUUAGGUGAACCAAUUAUAGAGAACAUAACCCUUGUAACCAAUCGGGAAAAGAUGCUUUUAAAUCCCAGAAAAAAAAAUUAAGAGGAGUUUUUUAAAAAACCAUCAUUUCAAUUAUUUUCCAGUCUUACAUUUGGAUUAAACAGAAAAUAUAAGUAAAAAUGCCAACUUUCUAAAAAAACUACAACUAUUUUUACAAAUUUCCAUUACCCAAUGCUGAAAAAUGAGAAUCACGAAGCAAUGAAGAACGGAACACGCGAGAACCAAAAAGUUAAAAACAACACGUAACCAUUUCAAAGACCCAAAAUCCUGCAAGGACAAAAAAAUCCCAUAAAAUCAGUACAUCAGCACUCCCUGCAAAACCCCAAAAUCAGAAAAUUAUAAAAAGAACCCAAAAUCAGUGGCAUGGUCCUCGUUUCUCCAUCAUUCAGUAGCUAAUGACCUAAUGGAAAAGAACCCAAAACAUACAGCUUAAAAUAUGGAAAGUGCUUAUAAAAGCUCAUGAAUAACGUUCAAAGCCUGCAUAGAAAUGGUAUAGCGCAGAUAACAACAAACAAUAAAACUAUGCACAGUAUAACCUAAAUCCGAUAUGUUGCAUUCCCCACACACAGAUUGUUCAAAAUUAAUUUCGUCUCCGUCUUUUUUCAAAUCUGAUAAAAUCCCCAAAACACAAAAAAUAGCAGCUAACUAUUUUUUGAACUCUGUAAACAACGAUAUGCAUCUUAACCCAUUUAACAUAUUCAUAAAAUAACAUCAAACACAUUUAUGCAUGAGAUAAUAUAGAAGUGAAGUCUCACAACUUUCAUAAAAAAUUAUUACUUUGUUAGAGAAAGGCUUGAAAAAAUAUGUAAAUUACUCACCUCUAUUACAAAAAUGUUACAACAGUAGACAAAAAAGGCCAAAAAUACCAAAAGCCGCACCUCCUGAAAUAAAAAACAUAACCAAACGACACAUUCUCAGUAUCUAAACGAUAUCCAGAAAAAAAGAAAUGAACAGACGAAACCCAUGUAAAUAUACAGAACAAACCAAAAAAAAAAAAAAGAACUGAAGCCAGUAAGAAGAUCACAAAUCUGAUAAAGCAAAAGGUAACAUAAUCUAUAUCGAUUUAAUUAUCCAUCCAAAAAGACAUUUGAAUGAAGAACAUUUUUAAGGAUCCAAACAACCAUUAAACUAAACAAUUAAAAGUAAAAACAGCAAAGCAUUCAUUGAAGAAAUAUAUAUAUAUAUAUAUAUUAUAACGUAUUUUGUUCUUUAUACCUAAAAGAAAAACAUUGGCUUUCUUGUAUGCACUGAAGUAUGCAUGUGUCGGAAAUUUACAAUCUAUAGAGACUCAAUCUCAGACUCAAAAAGACAUCUAAAGGAAAAGUAAUAAGAAAAAUAAGUAGUGGUUUUACCUAUACUCCAUGUGUGGACUCCAAUUUUCAAUCACAAUUCAAAAUUCAAGAGGCCUAUAAAUCAACCACAUAGGAAAUGAUCAGUGGAAGAAAAAGAAAAACAACUGAAGCCAAAAUAGCAUCUAACAAAUCAUUUAGAACCAUCACAGAAAACAAUUUUUGCAUAUAAGUAAUUUAAAGGAAUACCAUCAGGUCAUGCAUAUAUACAACGUACCCAAUUAGAUAAGUAGCACAUCAACAAUUGAUGAUCAAAAAGUUAGUCAGCCUCAAUUGCUUGAAUCUAAUUAACUCAAAGAUAAUAAACAGUCCAUUUAAUGCACGGGCUGACUAUCAAUUUUAUAAAGCUAUAAUUCUGUGCAGUUCAAAAACCAAGUGGAAGAAUAGGCAAAAACUAUCUCAUCGCCUGUAAAUGUAAUUAACUAAAUAUUAAACUUCACAGCCACAAAUAAACCUAAAUUCCUCCUAAAACUAUCUCAUUUAAGCUUGAUUUUACUAUAAUCUAUAAGUGUGGUAAAAAAUGGGAGGCCAAACGAUUUGUUAACAAAAAAGGUAGACAUAAAAGUAAAAGGAACAGGGCAGACAUUAGUUGAGGAGAAGCUAAUGUCACCUUGAAUUGACGACAAACAGUUCUUAUCUUCUCGAAUUAACGAAGAUAAGUACCAUUUUUCUUUAAUUCAAGGUAAUAUAAAAAGAAAUUAUACCUGUACAGUGUUCAGAUGUAGCAAUCCUAUGCAAUCGGCCAAAUGAUGUGUGUCCUCUCAAAGAUCUGUAUAUCCAUUACAGACUAAUCUUCAGUCUUGCAGAAAAUGAUAUGUUGACUACAAUUUCCCAUACUACUAAAAAACACAAAUAAUUCUAUCUACAAACCAAAUAAUAUGUGCAACUUUAUGCUACAAUGGUAGAAUAAGAUGGUUGUACAGGACGACACAAAGAUUGAGACUUUUUUUUACUUCUAAAAUUCUACACACUUUCGAGCCCUAAAUUUUCCCGGAAACAAAAAAAAGUGAAAGAAGUCGUACCUGGUUUGAGAGAGUGGGACACCAUCGGCGAGUUUGGUGUAGCAGUGAUGGCGGAGAUCUCUGGUGAGAAAGCUAAUAAGAUGGACAAAAUCAUUGAACAAAAAAAACCUCGCUUUUUAAAAUUAAAGUCAACAAAAAUUUGAACAAAGAAAAGAGAACUCAAACCCGAAACAAAUAAGUCGGAGAACUCGCCAGGAAACCCAAAGUUUCUGCAGGAUUGGCGAUUUCCUGAAAACCAAGCUUUUGUAGGUUUAAAAUUUCUUCCCUAAGGCAACAGAUCCAACAUUCCCAACUUUAGCUAUUUCAGCUACAUAAUAGAAAGAAAAAAAAAUUUAUAUAAUUAACUAAUCUGAUUUAAGAUUAAUCGAAAAGCUUGGAAAUUUCAGCUUUAAAAUUACAUGUCAGGCUGCAAAUCUAAUAAAAAGCGUAGAAUUUUAAAAAUGCUGACCUUAAAUACAGAGGCCUUCGCAGGCUGCAAAGAAGCGUUAGAAACCCGAAAAACCGGAUCUCCUGAAACCAAAAACAAAACCAAAUUAACCAUCAUCACCCAUAAUUCGAAGCCACAAACAUAAUCCCCAAAAUUACAACCCAAAAAUUUAAACAAAAAAACCCAUUUAUAAAUCCAAAUUUACACUCCCAAGUGCAAGACUCUAAGCUCCAACUGUUCUUUCUCAACUUUAGCUAUUUCAGCAACAUAACAUAAAUAAAAAGGUCGUACCCAGUGCACAAGGCUCCCGCUUUACGCAGGGUCUGGGAGAGGUGAAUGUCGGCUAGCCUUACCCCCAUUUUAUGGAGAGGCUGCUCCCAAGUCUCGAACCCGAGACCUACCGCUCAUGGGCGAAGACACUUGCCAUCGCACCAAGUGCGACCUCUAGCAACAUAACAUAAAUAAAAAGAUCGUACCCAGUGCACAAGGCUCCCGCUUUACGCAGGGUCUGGGAGAGGUGAACGUCGGCUAGCCUUACCCCCAUUUUAUGAAGAGGCUGGAACAUAACAUAAAUAAAUAAACAAAAUUAAUUUAACUAUAAUUAACUAAUAUGAUUUAAGAUUAAUCAAAAAACUUGGAAAUCUGCUUGAAUCCAAUCUCAAAAUUGAAAACGAACACUUCACUUUUACAAAAGUUGUACAAAGCAAAAAAAAAAAAACAGACAAAUCAAAGUCUCACAAAGGGCCACAACGACAGCAAAAUUGCAACAGAAAGAGGAAAAAUGUUCAAUCAAACCAUUGGAUAACUCUUCUAAGGCAGCCAAAAAAAAACCCACAAAUUCAAAACCACAAAAAUCCAAUCUAAAACAUCGAUUCACAGACUGAGAUGCACAAAAUGAUAUAUUAACAAAUCCAAAACGAAAUACAAAAAUUAAGAACCAACAAGCAAAAAAAUACUGAUUAUCCCCUGCAUACGUGAGCACACGUUCAAAAAGCCUCUCAAAGGCUGAGAUUCAACUUUCAAACAUAAAGACUUUAAGCCACAAUUGUUCUUUCUUAACUUUAGCUACUUCAGUUACAUAAUCGGAAAAAAAAAAUUAUUUAAUUAUAGUUAACUAAUCUGGGUUAAGAUUAAUAAAAAAGCUUGGAAAUUUCAGAUCUAAAAUCACACCUCAGGCUGCAAGUAGAAUCAAAACCAUGGAAUUUCAAAAUCACUGACCUUAAACACACAGGUCUUCGCAGGCUUCAAAGAAAAGUCACAAACUCGAAAAACCCAAUCUCCUGAAAUCGAAAACAAAACCAAAUUAACCAUCAUCACCUAGAAUCCGAAGCUACAAAACAAAAUUCCCAAAAUCAAAACCAAAAAAUUUGAACAAAAAACUCAUUUAAUAUCCAAAUUUACACUCCCAAGCACAUAACAUUCAAAGCAGACAAUUACCCAAAUCAAAUCGACAGCAGGAGAUGCAAUCUUUUAUGGGCUUCAAAUUUUCUUCAAACCGAGACCAAAUUCGCUAGUUUUCAGCAAGAGAGCGUUGCCGUUUGUAACCCCCGAUGAAAAGAUCCAAACAAAUUUGACUAACAGUAGACAGAGAGAGAGAGAGAUAGAGAGAGAGAGGUGAAAAUUACUCGCUGGUGACGAAGCUAAUGAAUUCGGAGACGCAUUCCUGGACGGUGUUCGACUGAUCGGCACGAGUAGAGACACCAGAUCAGAAAGACAGAAAAAUUAGGGUUUGGGAGAUAAAGAAACUGGGGCAGAGAGAGAGGGAAAGAGAAGCAGAAAAGAGGAUAAUUUUAUGCAUUUUUUUUAGCCGCUUUGAAUUUUUUUUGGCCGACAGGCAUUUGCGUCCGAUUAUUUUUGUCGAAGCCGGUGACACCAAAACCGGCCUCCGGCUUUCGGACCAGGAUUGUCUGCCCCUUCAUUUUCCCUGCCAUGU
Molecule: long non-coding RNA, 5728 nt
Filed under: Malus domestica (apple)
Lineage: Eukaryota; Viridiplantae; Streptophyta; Magnoliopsida; Rosales; Rosaceae
Description: long non-coding RNA (MDOM_LNC014825)
Source: RNAcentral